ACACGUGAUUCAGAGUUUGAUCCUGGCUCAGGAUGAACGCUGGCGGCGUGCUUAACACAUGCAAGUCGAACGAAGCACCUUGAUUUCUUUGGAAUGAUUGGUGACUGAGUGGCGGACGGGUGAGUAACGCGUGGGUAACCUGCCUCACACAGGGGGAUAACAGUUAGAAAUGACUGCUAAUACCGCAUAAGACCACAGUACCGCAUGGUACAGUGAUAAAAACUCCGGUGGUGUGAGAUGGACCCGCGUCUGAUUAGCUAGUUGGUGAGGUAACGGCCCACCAAGGCGACGAUCAGUAGCCGACCUGAGAGGGUGACCGGCCAUAUUGGGACUGAGACACGGCCCAA
This 347-nucleotide ribosomal RNA is filed under the name uncultured bacterium. Its description in RNAcentral is "bacterial SSU rRNA". It matches the Rfam family "Bacterial small subunit ribosomal RNA", at positions 1 to 334 of the family's 1533-position model. The record is from RNAcentral.